AGAAGUCGGUAACAAGGUUUCCGUAGGUGAACCUGCGGAAGGAUCAUUGUCGAAAUCGAACGGAAGAACGACCCGCGAACCGUCCCCACCUACCGAACGGAGGUCGCGAGCCGAAACGCUCGCGUCCCUCGCGUCGCGUCGGCGCGGGCCUUCCCCGGAGGCCGGCGUCGUCCCGACAAACGAACAUCGUCAGCACGAAUCGUGCCAAGGACCCGUAAAAGGCGAGAAUCGCCGUCCCCGGCCCCCGGUCGUUCUCGGCGGGCGGGCGUGGGACGCGCGCGAUCUCUGCUCUAAGUCUUUAAUGACUCUCGGCAACGGAUAUCUCGGCUCUUGCAUCGAUGAAGAACGUAGCGAAAUGCGAUACUUGGUGUGAAUUGCAGAAUCCCGCGAACCAUCAAUUCUUUGAACGCAAGUUGCGCCCGAAGCCAUUUGGCCGAGGGCACGCCUGCCUGGGCGUCGUGAAUCCCCUUGCCCCCCGGAACCCGCGCGAGCACCGUCGCGGGUUCGCCCGGGCGCAGAAUAUGGUCUCCCGUCGCAUCGGCGUGCGCGGCACGCCGUGGUACGGUUGGCCGAAAAUCGAGCAUUGCGACGUCGGGCUGCACGGCGCUAGGUGGAUCGAACGCGAUUGGCUGCGCCGUGGUCCCGUCGUGCCGCGGGCUCAGGACUAGGACGGUUCCCCAGUGCGAUCCCAGGUCAGGCGGGGCUACCCGCUGAGUUUAAGCAUAUCAAUAAACCGGAGGAA
RNAcentral lists this ribosomal RNA (742 nucleotides) under Melastoma dodecandrum. RNAcentral's name for it is "eukaryotic LSU rRNA". The stretch from base 304 to 459 matches the Rfam family "5.8S ribosomal RNA". The record is from RNAcentral. Lineage: Eukaryota; Viridiplantae; Streptophyta; Magnoliopsida; Myrtales; Melastomataceae.